This 83-nucleotide transfer RNA is filed under the name Granulicatella balaenopterae. Its description in RNAcentral is "tRNA_Leu_GAG". It matches the Rfam family "tRNA". From Rfam's summary of the family: Transfer RNA (tRNA) molecules are approximately 80 nucleotides in length. Their secondary structure includes four short double-helical elements and three loops (D, anti-codon, and T loops). The record is from RNAcentral. Lineage: Bacteria; Bacillati; Bacillota; Bacilli; Lactobacillales; Carnobacteriaceae.
GCGGCUAUGGCGGAAUGGCAGACGCACUAUCUUGAGGGGGUAGUGGGAGUAAUCCCGUGGAAGUUCGAGUCUUCUUAGCCGCA